This 460-nucleotide ribosomal RNA is filed under the name uncultured bacterium. RNAcentral describes it as "partial 16S ribosomal RNA". It matches the Rfam family "Bacterial small subunit ribosomal RNA", at positions 338 to 795 of the family's 1533-position model. The record is from RNAcentral.
CCUACGGGGGGCAGCAGGGAGGAAUAUUGGGCAAUGGGCGGAAGCCUGAACCAGCCAAGUAGCGGGAGGGAUGAAGGUUCUAUGGAGGGUAAACCUCUUUUAUAAGGGAAUAAAGUGCGGGACGUGUCCCGUUUUGUAUGUACCUUAUGAAUAAGGAUCGGCUAACUCCGUGCCAGCAGCCGCGGUAAUCCGGAGGAUCCGAGCGUUAUCCGGAUUUAUUGGGUUUAAAGGGUGCGUCGGCUGCCUUUUGAGUCAGCGGUGAAAGUCUGUGGCUCAACCAUAGAAUUGCCGUUGAAACUGGGAGGCUUGAGUAUGUUUGAGGCAGGCGGAAUGCGUGGUGUAGCGGUGACAUGCUUAGAUAUCACGCAGAACCCCGAUUGCGAAGGCAGCCUGCCAAGCCAUGACUGACGCUGAUGCACGAAAGCGUGGGGAUCAAACAGGAUUAGAUACCCGAGUAGUC